GGUGUCAGCGGCAGACGGGUGAGUAACACGUGGGAACGUACCCUUCGGUUCGGAAUAACGCUGGGAAACUAGCGCUAAUACCGGAUACGCCCUUUUGGGGAAAGGUUUACUGCCGAAGGAUCGGCCCGCGUCUGAUUAGCUAGUUGGUGGGGUAACGGCCUACCAAGGCGACGAUCAGUAGCUGGUCUGAGAGGAUGAUCAGCCACACUGGGACUG
Molecule: ribosomal RNA, 216 nt
Filed under: Chaetoceros affinis
Lineage: Eukaryota; Bacillariophyta; Thalassiosirophyceae; Chaetocerotales; Chaetocerotaceae
Description: partial Bacterial small subunit ribosomal RNA
Rfam family: Bacterial small subunit ribosomal RNA
Source: RNAcentral